RNAcentral lists this ribosomal RNA (301 nucleotides) under uncultured bacterium. RNAcentral describes it as "partial 16S ribosomal RNA". It matches the Rfam family "Bacterial small subunit ribosomal RNA", at positions 509 to 807 of the family's 1533-position model. The record is from RNAcentral.
CAGUCGCCGCGGUAAUACGUAGGGUGCGAGCGUUAAUCGGAAUUACUGGGCGUAAAGCGUGCGCAGGCGGCUUUGCAAGACAGAUGUGAAAUCCCCGGGCUCAACCUGGGAACUGCAUUUGUGACUGCAAGGCUAGAGUGCGGCAGAGGGAGAUGGAAUUCCGCGUGUAGCAGUGAAAUGCGUAGAUAUGCGGAGGAACACCGAUGGCGAAGGCAAUCUCCUGGGCCUGCACUGACGCUCAUGCACGAAAGCGUGGGGAGCAAACAGGAUUAGAUACCCCAGUAGUCCCUGUCUCUUAUAC